This 254-nucleotide ribosomal RNA is filed under the name uncultured bacterium. RNAcentral's name for it is "partial 16S ribosomal RNA". It matches the Rfam family "Bacterial small subunit ribosomal RNA", at positions 524 to 776 of the family's 1533-position model. The record is from RNAcentral.
CACGUAGGGACCAAGCGUUGUCCGGAUUUAUUGGGCGUAAAGAGCUCGUAGGCGGUUCGGUAAGUCCGAUGUGAAAGCUCUGGGCUCAACCCAGAAAUUGCAUCGGAUACUGUCGUGACUAGAGUCCGGUAGGGGAGUGGGGAAUUCCUGGUGUAGCGGUGAAAUGCACAGAUAUCAGGAGGAACACCGGUGGCGAAGGCGCCACUCUGGGCCGGUACUGACGCUGAGGAGCGAAAGCGUGGGUAGCAAACAGG